GAUCUCUUAAAGACUGUUCUCAGUUCGGACUGCAGUCUGCAACUCGACUGCACGAAGCUGGAAUCGCUAGUAAUCGCGGAUCAGCACGCCGCGGUGAAUACGUUCCCGGGCCUUGUACACACCGCCCGUCACACCAUGGAAGUCUGCAAUGCCCGAAGCCGGUGGCCUAACCACUUAUGUGGAAGGAGCCGCUAAGGCAGGGCAGAUGACUGGGGUGAAGUCGUAACAAGGUAUC
This 235-nucleotide ribosomal RNA is filed under the name uncultured bacterium. Its description in RNAcentral is "partial 16S ribosomal RNA". It matches the Rfam family "Bacterial small subunit ribosomal RNA", at positions 1270 to 1500 of the family's 1533-position model. The record is from RNAcentral.